Molecule: transfer RNA, 105 nt
Filed under: Microdochium trichocladiopsis
Lineage: Eukaryota; Fungi; Ascomycota; Sordariomycetes; Xylariales; Microdochiaceae
Rfam family: tRNA
About the family: Transfer RNA (tRNA) molecules are approximately 80 nucleotides in length. Their secondary structure includes four short double-helical elements and three loops (D, anti-codon, and T loops). Further hydrogen bonds mediate the characteristic L-shaped molecular structure. tRNAs have two regions of fundamental functional importance: the anti-codon, which is responsible for specific mRNA codon recognition, and the 3' end, to which the tRNAs corresponding amino acid is attached (by aminoacyl-tRNA synthetases). tRNAs cope with the degeneracy of the genetic code in two manners: having more than one tRNA (with a specific anti-codon) for a particular amino acid; and 'wobble' base-pairing, i.e. permitting non-standard base-pairing at the 3rd anti-codon position.
Source: Rfam by way of RNAcentral
GCUCGGUUAGCUCAGUUGGUUAGAGCGUCGUACUAAUAUUUCGCCCUCCCAAGGACGAUAUAUACAGUAAUGCGAAGGUCAUGAGUUCAACCCUCAUACUGAGCA